Mycena galericulata is the source of this 94-nucleotide non-coding RNA. The record is from the annotation of a GenBank genome assembly. NCBI's taxonomy places the organism in Eukaryota, Fungi, Basidiomycota, Agaricomycetes, Agaricales, Mycenaceae.
GGCCUAGUGGUGUAUUGGCAACACAUCCUCCUUACUUGGACGGGGUAGGGAUUAAUGUUGGAGGAAGAACCCUGUUCGAUUCAGGGCCAGGCCA